Molecule: ribosomal RNA, 253 nt
Filed under: uncultured bacterium
Lineage: Bacteria
Description: partial 16S ribosomal RNA
Rfam family: Bacterial small subunit ribosomal RNA
Source: RNAcentral
UACGUAGGGGGCUAGCGUUGUCCGGAUUUAUUGGGCGUAAAGAGCUCGUAGGCGGUUUGUUGCGUCGGCUGUGAAAACCUGAGGCUCAACCUCAGGCCUGCAGUCGAUACGAGCAGACUAGAGUGUUGCAGGGGAGACUGGAAUUCCUGGUGUAGCGGUGAAAUGCGCAGAUAUCGGGAGGAACACCGGUGGCGAAGGCGGGUCUCUGGGCAACAACUGACGCUGAGGAGCGAAAGCGUGUGGAGCGAACAGG